RNAcentral lists this long non-coding RNA (1738 nucleotides) under Calidris pugnax (ruff). RNAcentral describes it as "lncRNA (ENSCPUG00000002934.1)". The record is from RNAcentral. Lineage: Eukaryota; Metazoa; Chordata; Aves; Charadriiformes; Scolopacidae.
GGGAAAGAACAUCCCCGGGGUCUGAUCUUAGGCCAGAAUUGGAACUGGAACUUUGAAAACAAAGCUUUUUUUUCCCCCUGAAAUGGGCUGCAGGAGGCUGCCUGCCCCAUGGCUGGAGGCAGCUAUGACCAUGGAAGGCUAGCAUGAUUUCAGAGUGGUGGUGUCUUCAGGCUUCCUUUUCGGUAUGUGUCCUGAUUUAACUUUACACCUUGGCCAUGCUGGUGCUCCUUGGCUUUUUGAGCAGCCAGCCCUCCAUGCUCCUGAUAUUUCCUGGUAAGCUUUCCAAGGUGGCAGAUGGGGAGAAGUGCUGCAACCGAGAUGACUUUCCUCCCUUGUCAUCCUGUGGAGAGGGGGCAUCCUGCCCUGAGGAGCAGCUUCUCGCCAUGGACUGAGCCCAUGACCUACCUGCAUGUGGCGUGGUACCUCCUCCACUGGGGCUACCAACCACCCAGGGGUGUGCGACCAGCAGCGUGGGCACCAAGCUAAGAGAGAAAAGCCCCAGGGAAGGAGGAUUUCUGCAAGAAUGCAGGCUGUUCCCUGCCCAUCUCGUGCAUCCUGCUGUGCACCCCAGUGAGAGCCCCACUUAGGAGGAACAGUGCUAAGAUCCAGUGCUGGAUCUCUUGUUCCCACCAGUGUCCAUCAACCAACUGGGCUGCUGCUGGGGAGGCACAGCUCCACCUUCUUUGCUCCUGAGCACCUUCUGCUGCUGGCUCUGCUUCUCUACCUGCUGUUUGUAGUGAGGACUCAUCACAGAGCAUCGCUGAGAGACGAGACGUGCUGCUGCUGCUGCUCUCCCCCUUGCUGUUUUGGAGCGUGGAGUCUGGUUGGCCAGGUCCAAGAAGGGCUGGGAAGAUGGACUGUACUGUUUGAAAGCUGCCCAGACCUCAUCUGCUCCCUUGAAACCAAUAUGAGGCAAGACCAGCGAUUGCAGCCAGUUGCAACAUCUCGUCUUGCUGGAUGGAGGCACAUCGUGUCACCAGUGGUGCUGCUGGUGAAACCUCCGUGAAGGAAGGAAACCCGCUGAGACCUGGCUGCCUGGGGGCUGUUAACCCAUCGGAGGUGAGCUAAAGACCCAAUUUCACUCUGUUUCUUUGAAGAGGGAGCUGGACACACCAAAGCCAAGGUUCAGUGAACUGAAGCUUCCAUAAAUCUACAUCAGAGUGUGAGAGAAUUAGGGCCAAUGGGUUGGGUCCACUGAAAACUAAGUCAAACUUUGACCCCAAACCAGCCAAGCUUUCUGAUUUUUAACAUCUCUUGAGGAUUCAGUUAAACCAGGAUGUCAGAGGCAGUGAUGUCACAGGAACCCAGCGCUGAUACAUGUCUCACCUAGAAUCAUAGAAUUGUCCAGGCCGGAAGGGACCUCCAAAGGUCAUCUAGUCUGACCUCCCCGCAGUCAGCAGGGACACCUCCAACUAGACCAGGUUGCCCGGGGCCUCAUCGAGCCUCACCUAAAUCCUGCAAGAGCAAAUCCUCAUAUAAAAUGGUCAGACCACAGCUUUGAUGAAACUAAGAGCACAGAUACUGUAACCUGUGUAUCACUGAGCAUCUUUAUAAUCAUAAUUCUCAGAUGAUUUUAGACUGCUUUCAGGUCCAACCAAACAGUGACUAAAGCAGUGUACUUGGUACCAAAGUUCAGUAAAUUAUUUGUAUUCGUGUGGCUUGUGAGGUUCUUGGAAGCUUUCUCAAAGGGCAAACUCUGUUUUGUUUGGGAGGGGAAAAAGGCAAACCAUGGUCGCCU